RNAcentral lists this ribosomal RNA (252 nucleotides) under uncultured bacterium. RNAcentral's name for it is "partial 16S ribosomal RNA". It matches the Rfam family "Bacterial small subunit ribosomal RNA", at positions 524 to 776 of the family's 1533-position model. The record is from RNAcentral.
UACGUAGGGAGCGAGCGUUGUCCGGAAUUACUGGGUUUAAAGGGUGCGCAGGCGGCGUGUCAGGUCAGCGGUAAAAUGUCGGGGCUCAACCCCGGCCGGCCGUUGAAACUGGCGUGCUCGAGUUGGAGAGAAGUAUGCGGAAUUCGUGGUGUAGCGGUGAAAUGCAUAGAUAUCACGAAGAACCCCGAUUGCGAAGGCAGCAUACCGGCUCCACACUGACGCUGAGGCACGAAAGCGUGGGUAUCGAACAGG